RNAcentral lists this long non-coding RNA (5535 nucleotides) under Eucalyptus grandis. RNAcentral's name for it is "long non-coding RNA (EGRA_LNC001211)". Lineage: Eukaryota; Viridiplantae; Streptophyta; Magnoliopsida; Myrtales; Myrtaceae. The record is from RNAcentral.
GAGCAGCAAUUCUAUCUCUGGUUCGACCCAACUGCUGAUUUCCACACCUACUCCAUCCUCUGGAAUCCACAACGCAUCAUGUAAGAGUCUGAAAAGCUCAAAAUGCGACCUUACUUGCAUUUACAUUGCGCUACACUAUUCUCUGUAGCAUUUACUCAAAAACCGGUGUGUGCGACCAUUGCAGAUUCUCAGUGGACGGGACUCCCAUCAGAGAGUUCAAGAACGCAGAGUCGAUCGGCGUUCCUUUCCCCAAGGCCCAGCCCAUGAGGAUAUUCUCGAGCCUCUGGAACGCGGACGACUGGGCAACCAGAGGCGGGCUCGUGAAAACGGACUGGACACAAGCGCCCUUCACUGCUUCCUACAGCAACUUCAAUGCCGAUAACGCCUGCGUUUGGUCAUCUGGGUCGUCAUCUUGCACUUCAUCUUCAUCUUCUUCGGAUGGUAAUGCAUGGCUAUCAGAAGAGCUCGACUCAACAAGCCAAGAGAGCCUGAAGUGGGUGCAAAGCAACUACAUGAUCUACAACUACUGCACGGAUGCCAAAAGAUUCCCCCAAGGCUUCCCUCCCGAGUGCUCCAUGUCCUAGACGACACAAGACAUUGAUUUUGUAAAAAAUUCGCUGUUCUUUUUCUUCUUUUUCGAGCCAAUUCUAUUAAUUUGUUUUGUGGCCGAGAAGCAAUUGAUAUUUUUUUAUUCUUUGACGAUUGUAGCAUUCCUAUCUUUACUCAAUAAAACAGAAAAUCAUCUUGGAUUUCAUAGUAUUGCUGCGACUCAGUGAGUGGAUACAACACAGAACAAAAUUAAGGGAAUGAAAAUGGAUUUUACAGGCCAGCUCCUGCCUUGAAUAUGAAACUGAUGACACAAUUGAUUACGCCGUCGUAGCUCAGAAAAUUAGAUAAACGCUACGUUGAACAAGUUCUGUUUUUAUGUUGAAUUCAACUCCGAUGUCCUCAUCGAGGGACUGAUUUGGUCGACAUUUCUUCCUGGUCCUUGUGCUCCACAGAAGGAUCAAACAUAGAAAACCGAUCAUCACAAUACCAUCAUGACCAGACAAGCUUUCCAAAUCUGCAAACUCAAAGAACAUCCUUGACUCCAACACAGAAUCAACCAUGAUUUACGGCCGAUCAACCUCAAGUCAACCCAACUUAAAGAGCAAGGUGCCGCAAACUAGGAUCCAAAAAUCGUACUGUGUGCCUGCAACCCCUCCCGCAACUGACGGUACUCUUAGCUGAUUUCACAAACUCUAAUGUUAAAUAGCUUCGGGGACUCUAAUGGCAAUGCUGCACAACCGAACACUUGUAAGUGAGAUAUAACAGGAGUAGUAUCAUAAAGAACCUUCCGAGGAGACAAAUUGUCUAGAACAGGAGUUGGGAGAUCAAGUGAACUGCAGUCUCAAAAGCAAAUUCCCAGAGAUGACAAGGAAGAGCAGACUCAUCAUGAGACCAAGGCCAGUUUCCACUGUAUUGGCAAUGCUUGCAUUCAACGGUCCCAUUUUGAAAUAGAGAUUAUGCACAAUAAAUGCGCCAAUGAAUGCCAUGACUGAGAAGGUAAGAGUGCAUGGUAGAGGAUAAGAACUCGGGUGCUCCAUCACACUAAAUCAUCUAAAGCUUGCACUGAAGUUGAGUCUUCAUAAGGGCAUGAAAGGCUUUAAAAAUGUUGAAAAAUUGAUCUUGAGAUGCGAGGGGAUAAAGCCAAGUAAAUCAAUAAAAUUCAUCAAUAAAACAGCCGUAAUAUUUAUAAAACAGGAGGCAGACCCCAAACAUCAAAAUGAACUAGCUGAAGAGAGGAAGCCCUAGGUCUGUGUACGUCAAAUCACAUAAAUUGUUCCGUCUAGGCGUUCUCCGAAGGAUGGAGAAGAAAGGAGACCAGAGAUUGUGGCAGCAGGAGUUGUGGGUCUGGUGAUGGUUGUAGUGGAAGGCUGGGAUUGUUGUAAAGUUGUUUGUUCGGCAGAGGAGGAAUUUGCAGAGGAAUUUGAGUCACUCGUAUUUAGAUCGAUGGGCUUUUGCCUUUUUGAUACCAAGACAGAAAUAGAGAUGCAGAAAGAAAACAGAGAAUAUAGAAGACAUAAGAAAAGUGUGUGUGUAUAUAUAAAUAUAGAAAGAAUCUCUAGAGAUAGAUAUUGACAACAAAAUUUGUAACCACCAAUGAAGAUAAUAUUUGAAUCAAUCAAGGAUUACAUAUUAUGCGUAGAUUCUGAUUGUGUGGUGAUUCUGGUAACGUUAUCAAUCUCGGAUUGGAUAUCAUGCGAAUAUCUUGAUUAUACUGUGAGUCAUAUGCGAGCUAGAGAUAAUAUUUGAUUCUGGUGUGAGCUCGAAUAGUUAGCAGUGGAUUGCGUCAACAGAUAGCUUCAGAUAGAAUCUUCCUGAUAAUCACUCAAAUCCUAAGUUUGUCAUCCAUACAAAUUGCACAACCAAAGAAGCAUCGGCAUAAUGCUGCUGCAAAUUCAAGACGUCAAAGCAUAUAUAUAAGGCAAAACCUGAAGAUUACCUUCCUCCAACCAAACAAAGUCCAUUUCCAUCUUCUUUUCCCAGCUAAAAGAAUGCACCAAUCACCAGUAAAAGAAAACUCCUUGUACUUAUCCUUUCAAACCAUCCUUGCAAAUUGUCAAUAUGCGGAAUUUCUGAAAAAAGGUGAUAAUAAUCGACUCUUUUAAAUCAGAGAGAAAUAUAAGUUGAACAAAGAGACAGAACACGAAUACACGAAUAAUUUAAAGGAAAUAAAAAUUGAAUAGAGGGAAAGAUAAGAAAGGAUCUGAAACAGAGGAUUUCGGGUGCCUCUGCAGACAUUUGCUGCACGGAAUUCUCUUCAUGAUCUCAACUUGCAAUCUCCGUCAAAAAAUUUUGAUUGAACAAAUAAAGAGGUUAACCCGAGUGAAGUUAACAAAAAUUGAUUGACUUGAGCCAACGCAACAUUCGGCUGAACUUUUUUUACAUUUUAGAACCAAAAAAGCAUGCAUAAUCUGAACAAUUUUAAAUGUAAUUUAUUAUAUUCUCUCCAAAGAUUUGAGGUGUUGUAUGUUAAGUUGAGGUGAAAUAGCAAAGUUAAAUUUGAAAAGGUAAGAAAUGAGAAAAAUAAAAUAGAAUCGGAAUGUAUCUAGAUAGAACGCAUUCCCGAAUCGUACAUGUAGAAUAGUGGGAGGAGACAUGUGGGUUCUCAAAGAGUACGAGUUUUCAAUAUGUCCGCUCUUUGGUGUCGAAAGAGAACGGACUUUUGCUUUCCAUGAAAGUUUUUAGAUGCUUCUCCUAUAAUGUCUCUGCCUAAGAUACAUGAAGAUGAUAGUCGACGUGAUCUCUAAUGUAUGCAAAUUAUAGUGCACGGGAAGAAGGUACGUACCCCACCAUAUGAGAUCCACCGACAUUAGGUGAAGGAAAAGCAGCGACCGCUCAUGGUGAAGCAUGUAGCUGGUAGGGGUGAGCAGCGGUCUAGGGUCGACCCUGGACCGACCCUAGACCGGCCCAACCCUGCCGGUCUUGGUCCGGUUCCCAAGGGGACCGGGUCGGUCCUUGAUCCUGAAUUUCCAGAACCAACACUGUGCGGGUUGGUCCUCGAUCCUAAGAGUUUUUGGUCAGUCCAACCCUGGACCAACCCUGUAUAUUAUAUUAUAUUAUUUAUAAUUAUUUUAUAUAUUCAAACCUAAGUAAAAUGUCUGUUAUAUUAUAUUAUAUUAAGAUGUUAUAUCAAUAGAACUAAUAAUAAUUUCAAUUUAAAACUUUUGUUGAGUAUUAAUUAUGUGUCAUUUGUUUUGUUUUCAGGUAUUUAGAAGUUCAAGUGAAUUAACAAAAUGUGAAGUUAUAUAUUCAUGGUUUAUAUUAAGUAUUUUGAACUUUUUAUGGUUUAAUUGUAUUUUAUUAAUGAAUUUUAGCUGCACUUUAUUUUUCAAUUUGUGUCAAAUGGUAUAAAUUUUUUAAGAGUAGAGUAAUACUGCAGUUGCUACGGUGAUUUGCUAGUCAAGUGGUGUGAAGCUCAUUUUUUGGUUGAGUGGACUUUACAAUCAAAUGCAAGAAAACGCUUUUGCAUAUGGUGUUAUGAAUAUUAAAGAUAGAUGAUUACAAGAACUUUCCAUCUUGUCCCAUAUCUCGAUGAGCGGUUAAUAGCUACGGAAUUUCUAUUAUUGUGUCAUCUUAAAUUUACUAAAUAUGUAUUGGUAUUUAUAAUUUAGUUGCACAAUGCCGCAUUAUCGAUGGAUGUGUAAUUUGAAUUUGUAGGUUUACUUUUUUAAGGAGUAUAAAAAAUAAGACGAAAAAAAUUAUUGAUCGGUCUCGGGUUGACCCUGAAACCGGACCGAACCCAUUGGGUCGGUCCGGUCCUUGGUCCCAAGCUCAAUAGGGUCGGUUCUCGGUCCUAAAAAUUGAGGACCGACACUGUAUGGGUGGGUCCUAGGGUUAGGGGAUGGCCCGAAUCAACCCGGACCAUGCUCACCCCUAGUAGCUGGUGGUGAACAGACGAUAGAGCCCGUCUCCGUGUGGGGAAGCUCCAUGUCGUCUCGAACCGCGUUGCCUCAUAAUUUAUUUGCAUGCUGGACGUGCGUUGGUAGUGGUAGUGUCACUGUUUGUCCUCUUCUUUUUUAAAGCAACUUCUAUAUUGGAAGCCAACUGUCCACAGCUGAGUUAGCGUGGGGGGUUGACUCCCACCAAUCCUUCGUUGCCUCUCCUCAUCUCUCACACGUUUUCUCCCAUCUUCAUCUUCGGUACGAAGCUAUAAAUACCAUCUCCACAUCUCUCCCAUUUCAUCAAUCAACGCAAACACUCCACAUCUCUCUCUCCUCUUCAGUCCUCACUCUCAUAUCAUCUCAUUGAGAUUUGCUUCUCUUCUUCAACUACAGCAGCAGCAGCAGCAGACAGAACACGCCCAAUAUGGCCUCCCUUUCUACUUCUUCGCUUUGCAUCGCCACUCUGCUUCUCGUGGUCGUUUCUUGGGGGACGUUUGCUUCCGCCCGCAACUUCUAUCAAGACUUCGACAUAACCUGGGGUGAUGGCCGAGCUCAGAUCCUCAACAACGGCGACCUCCUCACUCUCUCCCUCGACAAGGCCUCCGGCUCCGGCUUCCAGUCCAAGAACGAGUACUUGUUCGGCAAGAUUGACAUGCAGCUCAAGCUAGUUCCCGGCAACUCCGCUGGCACCGUCACCGCAUACUAUGUAAGUCUCCUUCUUAAUCAGUUUGUGCCCCUUUAUCUUCAAGCUUCCUUCUUUUUUUCUCGAUCAGAUUUUUAAUUUUUGCUAUGUUGUUAUUCUACAGUUAUCUUCAAACGGGUCGGCGUGGGAUGAGAUAGACUUCGAGUUCUUGGGGAACUUGAGCGGCGAUCCAUACAUUCUCCACACCAACGUCUUCAGCCAAGGCAAGGGUAACCGAGAGCAGCAAUUCUAUCUCUGGUUCGACCCAACUGCUGAUUUCCACACCUACUCCAUCCUCUGGAAUCCACAACGCAUCAUGUAAGAGUCUGAAAAGCUCAAAAUGCGACCUUACUUGCAUUUACAUUGCGCUACACUAUUCUCUGCGGCAUUUACUCAAAUACCUUUGUGCGCGACCAUUGCAGAUUC